This 274-nucleotide ribosomal RNA is filed under the name uncultured bacterium. RNAcentral's name for it is "partial 16S ribosomal RNA". It matches the Rfam family "Bacterial small subunit ribosomal RNA", at positions 523 to 796 of the family's 1533-position model. The record is from RNAcentral.
AUACGGAGGGUGCAAGCGUUGUCCGGAUUUAUUGGGUUUAAAGGGUACGUAGGUGGAUUCUUAAGUCCGUGGUGAAAGCCCGCAGCUCAACUGCGGAACUGCCAUGGAUACUGGGAAUCUUGAAUUCAGUUGAGGUUGGCGGAAUUUAUGGUGUAGCGGUGAAAUGCAUAGAUACCAUAAAGAACACCUAUUGCGAAGGCAGCUAACUGGACUUGAAUUGACACUGAGGUACGAAAGCGUGGGGAGCGAACAGGAUUAGAAACCCGAGUAGUCC